GACUCCGUAGCUCAGUGGGAGAGCGCCACCUUGACAGGGUGGAAGUCGUUGGUUCAAGUCCAAUCGGAGUCA
Molecule: transfer RNA, 72 nt
Filed under: Allobacillus halotolerans
Lineage: Bacteria; Bacillati; Bacillota; Bacilli; Caryophanales; Bacillaceae
Also listed under: 2 other names
Description: tRNA-Val
Rfam family: tRNA
About the family: Transfer RNA (tRNA) molecules are approximately 80 nucleotides in length. Their secondary structure includes four short double-helical elements and three loops (D, anti-codon, and T loops). Further hydrogen bonds mediate the characteristic L-shaped molecular structure. tRNAs have two regions of fundamental functional importance: the anti-codon, which is responsible for specific mRNA codon recognition, and the 3' end, to which the tRNAs corresponding amino acid is attached (by aminoacyl-tRNA synthetases). tRNAs cope with the degeneracy of the genetic code in two manners: having more than one tRNA (with a specific anti-codon) for a particular amino acid; and 'wobble' base-pairing, i.e. permitting non-standard base-pairing at the 3rd anti-codon position.
Source: RNAcentral